RNAcentral lists this small RNA (776 nucleotides) under Pongo abelii (Sumatran orangutan). RNAcentral describes it as "processed transcript". The record is from RNAcentral. Lineage: Eukaryota; Metazoa; Chordata; Mammalia; Primates; Hominidae.
AGGGAAGAAAGCCUGUGGCCUUUAGCAAGCAAGGAUGGGGGUGUAACCAGGCUCCUCGGACCUCCCAUCCCCUCACAGCCACAGACCCAGCUUUAAGGUUACUCUGGGGUCCCCUUGGCCAAGAGGAGGGUCUGUUCGGUGGGUUCAGAGCCUUAGGAUUUUAUUUUUCUUUAUUGUUGUUCAUGUCUCCAACACAUAUAAAGCCCUUUCCAUCUUAACAAAGCACUUACACGCACUGUGGCUUAACUUCUGCAGUUUGAGCCACCUGCGGGAUAUUGUAGAAACACUGCGCUGCCAAUCACAGCUUGUGAUGUGACACAUUCAUUCUGCAAGUUUAAACUUCCCCUAGCAAAGAGCUCCUGGGAAGGUGCUGCUGGAUGCAGUUUGCAACCACCUCAACCUCGUGGAAGGUGACUAUUUUGGCCUCGAGUUUCCUGAUCACAAAAAGAUCACGGUGUGGCUGGAUCUCCUAAAACCCAUUGUGAAACAGAUCAGAAGGCCAAAGCAUGUUGUUGUUAAGUUUGUGGUGAAAUUCUUUCCGCCUGACCACACACAACUCCAAGAAGAACUCACAAGGUACCUGUUCGCGCUGCAGGUGAAGCAGGACUUGGCUCAAGGCAGGUUGACGUGUAACGACACCAGCGCAGCUCUCUUGAUUUCACACAUUGUGCAAUCUGAGAUUGGGGAUUUUGAUGAAGCCUUGGACAGAGAGCACUUAGCAAAAAAUAAAUACAUACCUCAGCAAGACGCACUAGAGGACAAAAUCGUGGAAUUUC